Molecule: ribosomal RNA, 410 nt
Filed under: uncultured Glomeromycotina
Lineage: Eukaryota; Fungi; Glomeromycota
Description: SSU rRNA
Rfam family: Eukaryotic small subunit ribosomal RNA
Source: RNAcentral
AGCAGCCGCGGUAAUUCCAGCUCCAAUAGCGUAUAUUAAAGUUGUUGCAGUUAAAAGCUCGUAGUUGAAUUUCGGGAUCAAGGAAUCGGUCAUGCCUCGGUAUGUACUGGUUUUAUUGGUUCUCACCUUCUAAAGAACCAUAAUGUCAUUUAUUUGGUGUUAUGGGGAAUUAGGACUGUUACCUUGAAAAAUUAGAGUGUUUAAAGCAAGCUUACGCUUGAAUACAUUAGCAUGGAAUAAUGAAAUAGGACAUCCGAUUCUAUUUUGUUGGUUUCUAGGAUCGAUGUAAUGAUUAAUAGGGAUAGUUGGGGGCAUUAGUAUUCAAUUGUCAGAGGUGAAAUUCUUGGAUUUAUUGAAGACUAACUACUGCGAAAGCAUUUGCCAAGGAUGUUUUCAUUAAUCAAGAACGA